GGCCCUUUAGCUCAGUGGUUAGAGCAGACUCAUAAUCGCUUGGUCGCUGGUUCAAGUCCAGCAGGGGCCACCA
RNAcentral lists this transfer RNA (73 nucleotides) under Escherichia coli. RNAcentral's name for it is "tRNA-Ile". It matches the Rfam family "tRNA". Rfam says of the family: Transfer RNA (tRNA) molecules are approximately 80 nucleotides in length. Their secondary structure includes four short double-helical elements and three loops (D, anti-codon, and T loops). The record is from RNAcentral. Lineage: Bacteria; Pseudomonadati; Pseudomonadota; Gammaproteobacteria; Enterobacterales; Enterobacteriaceae.